Molecule: non-coding RNA, 41215 nt
Organism: Callithrix jacchus (white-tufted-ear marmoset)
Lineage: Eukaryota; Metazoa; Chordata; Mammalia; Primates; Cebidae
Source: RefSeq, a predicted model, not a curated record
CCUCGUUUGACUGAUGAGUUUUGAACCAACUUGCAAACUCCAAGGUCUAAAGAGGCCAGGUGGGAAAAUAAAUGAUUUUAGUGGCCAGGUAAGGCAGGAGGGAUCUGGGAGGCCUGUGGGACACUAGAGAAGCUUGUAUCCGACCGAAGACAGUGGGCUGCAUGCAGGAGUCCACAGGCCUCACUUGAACCAGUCUGCAGCUGUUGUGCUAGACUGAAAACCUAGAGCCUUGACAGUGAAUCUGAUGUUCCUGCUAUGGGGAGUCUGUAUUGCUUUCCGAUAUGGCUUUCUGAUUUGGCUUCAGGUCAAAUGUGGCUGCCUGAAGAUACUUCAGUGGGCCCACUGUGAGGUACACUUUGCUCCCGUCUCUAGGAGAAACUCCCACCCUUUUCUUCCUUUCCAGGGAUGCUGGGGGAGAGAAGCAGAUGGUAACUGCCUGCACCCAUCCCUUCCCUUGUACUCUUCCUUUGACAGAGAAGAGCGCAUGUGAUUGAAAUGGGAAUUUAUACCAGACAUAAGAGAAUAAUAACUGGCGUCAGACCGUGGCAUUACCCCCUCAUCAGGUUAUGUUUGCAUUCCAUUAACACUGGAGAUUACCAAAGGAGGGAGGAAAUCAGAAAGCCAGAUAUUCAAAUAGAGACUUUACUUGAACAUGUGUUUUUGAAAUUAGCCUCCCUGCCUGCAUAAAUGCUUUACUCUAACUGGUAUGAUUCCUAGGAAUAUUCCAGGGCUACAUUUAGUAGAAUUAACUGAUAGAAACUGUGUCGGAAUAUUAUGCUUUAACCAUUGCUGAAUAAAUAAAUGCUAGAACAUUAAAUGAUUGAGUUUAACAACAGGGGAGAUUUUUGCAGAAGAUCAGAAUAUAGACUUAAUUUCAUGAUUUAUUAAUGAUUUUCAGACUUUCGAUCGUCAAGGGUAUGUAGAAUGGAUGAUUAGGCUAACAAUUUAUUUUCCAUAGAUUCUUCUUUUCCUUACCAAUGUUUAAACAACACAUUAACUUGGGGUCUUGUUAGGAUGCAAAUCAGUGUUCAUCAGUGCAUUUCAUUAUCCUUUCAUUAUCUUCAAAAUAUUAUUUGUAGGUUACGAUAUUUUUGUUUAAAUAUUUUAAAGCUGUCUGUACCAGAAGCAUAUGUAUAUUUCUGUCUGUCAAAUGGCAGUUCUGGGUCGUGACUGGCAGUUUUAGAGAUUUGUAUGUUACCAUCAGCCAUGAUAUAAUUCAAAGGUUUUUGACUGCUUGGUUCCACGUUAACUCUCGAAUUACCUAAGUGUAAUCUUUUCUAGUUCCUUGUUCUUCUGCUUGCAUUACAAUUCUUCUGUUUGCAUUACAAUUUGCCAUAUUUCUGGUUUUUCCUGGAGAGCACUAGUUCUCCCCAGAUUUGGAAACACUCCCUAGACAUCCUUGUGACUUUGUUUUAUGUGAAGCCUGCUCUAAAAAGAUGCCAGCGCAUCCCUUUCUUGUCAAAUACUGUUGCCUAAUUGGAAGAUGAUGAGAUUUCAGUGGCAGGCACAAGCCCCACACGAUGUUAGCCGUGUAUUUCAAUGUGUGCCUUUUCUUACGGUAAUGCAAAAAUGAAUACUCACAUCCAAAGCUCCAUGGAUCUACUAGUUUAAGUUUUGUGUUUAUGGAACUGUAACCAAACAUCAGUCAAAGCACCCAAAUGUGAAACUCUCAGCUCUGCCUCUUACUAGCUGGGUGAAUUGGGGCAAAUGACUGGGUUUCUCUGAGUAUCAGUUUCCAUAGUGGGAAAAAACGGGGAUAAUAAUGAUAUUCACAUUAGAGGAUUACAGUGCGUAGUGAAGGAGAAAAGUGUAGGAAGUAAUCUCACAAUAGUAGGUCUUGGGUACAUGUGGUUUCUCUAUGGAUAUCGGUAUCGUUUCAUCCCUUUGGCCCUACAGAUGUUCUUUAAUUUUAUGAGAUAAAGUUCAAGUAGAUUUAGAUUUGCCUUUCUAAGCAACUUGGGGUUGUAUACUACCAACAAAAGUCACUGCAAAAAUGGCUUGGCAUAAAAACAUAAAAAUAUCUGGAACAAAACCAACCUCAGAACAAAGCCUGGAAGUCAUAUGAGGGCACUACUCUCCCUGCCCCUCUGUGAGAUUUUCUGUCAAGGAAUUCAUCCCUUUUUUGUGUUACAAAAACAAAACCUCAUUGGCGUGGCACGGUGGCUCACGCCUGUAAUCCCAGCACUUUGGGAGGCUUAGGCAGGUGGAUCAUUUUAAAUCAGGAGUUCAAGAUCAGCCUAGCUAACAUGAUGAAACCCUGUCUCUACGAAGAAUAUAAAAAUUAGUCAGGUGUGGUGGCAGGCGCCUGUAAUAGCAGCUACUCAGGAGGCUGAUGCAGGAGAAUCUUUUUGAGCCCAGGAGGCAGAGGUUGCAAUGAGCUGAGAUCAUGCCAUUGCACUCCAACCUGGGUGACAGGGCAAGACUCCAUCUGAAAAAAAACAAACAAACAAAAUGAAAAAACCUAUCUCAUUAGUAUGGACCACACUCAUUAAGAAUUUUUAGUAAUUCAGAGAGGAAUUAGGGUGGGAUUAACUGUUGGGGGACCUUGUAUGAGAUUUGUCAGGCAAAUUAAUCACAAAAUUCAGUUUAGAGGCAAUGAAUGUUUGAAUUACCUAAGGGAAAAAACUAUGUAUGCGCAACAGUAAGCAGGUCAGAAGAUCUGUUUACACAAAAAAUUAGAUAUGCUAAUUUUUAAAAUGUUAAAUUAUAUUGAUUCUUUUUUCAUUGGUUCUCAUUAUAAAAAUCAACUUUAUUGAGGUAUCAUUUACAUACAAGUUACUGUAUCCAUUUAAAUGGACAAUUCCGUGAUGAACAUGAGAGAAUCAUACCCGUAAAGCCACCACCACAGUCAAGAGAGAAAAUUUCCAUGUCACUCAAGACUCCUUGGGCCCCUUGAAAGUUUCUUCUUCAUUCAUGACCCUAGUCAACCAGUGACCUACUUUAUUUACUAGAAAUUUUUUUUUUUUAGAUGGAGUCUCGCUCUGCUGCUCAGGCUCGAGUGCAGUGGUGCCAUCUCAGCUCACUGCAACCUCUGCCUCCUGGGUUUAAGUGAUUCUCCUGCCUCAGCUUCCUGAGUAGUUGGGAUUACAGGCAUGCGCAACCAUGCCCAGCUAGUUUUUGUAUUUUUAGUAGAGACAGGGUUUCACCGUGUUGGCCAGGCUGGUCUCGAACUCCUGACCUUAUUAUCCACCUACCUUGGCCUCCCAAAGUGCUGAGAUUACAAGCAUGAGCCACCACGCCUGGCCAAGAUUAUUUUAUACUGUAUAAAACAUCAUAUAAAUGGACUCAUAUGUACCAUUUUGUGUCUGGAUUAUUUCACUCAUUAUUUUGACAUUCAUCCAUGUAGCAUGUCUCAGAGGUUUGUUCCUUUUUAUUGCUGAGUAGUAUUCCAAAGUUAAGGAUAUUUCACAUUUUUUAAACUUUUGUAUUUAUAGAUACUUGAGUGGUUUCCAGUUUGGGAGCUCUCGUAAAUGAAGUUGCUGUAGACAUUCAUGUACAGGUCUUUACAUGCAUGUAUGUUUGAGUGAAGAUCUAGGAGGAGAAUGAGUGGGUUACACGGUAGAUGUUGUAUUCAACUUUUUAAUGAACUGCCUAACAGUUUUCCAAAGUGGUUGUACCAUUUUACAUCUUUUUGCCCAGCAGUAUAUGGCAAUUCCUAUUGCUGUACAUUCUUGCUAGCCCUUGAGAUUUUCACUUUUAGCCAUUCUAAUGGGUGUUUGGUAAUAUCAUAGGGUGGUUUUAAUUUGCAUUUCUUGAUGAUGAAUCACGUUGAUCAUCUUUUUAUGCCCUGAUUGGCCACGUGUAUAUCUUCUUUUAUAAAGUGUCUGCUCAAAUCUUUUGCUCAAUCUUUAUUGGAAUGUCAUCACAUUAUUGGGUGGCAGGUAUUCUUUAUGUAGUCCAUACUUUGUCAGAUACAUGUAAUAUGAAUAUUUUCUUCCAUUUUGUAGCUUGCUUUGUUUUUUUAAUGAUGCCUUUUAAAAAUUAUUGAAAUAUAAUUUAUGUACUAUGCAAUUCACCCAUAAGGUAUACAAUGGAAGGUUUUGCUUAUAGUCACAAGGUUAUGCAGCCAUCACUACAACCUAAUUUUAGGGCUUUUCGUCUCUCUAAAAGAAACCCUAUACUCAUUAGCAGUCACUCUCAAUUUCUCCCUCCCUCAGUCCCUAGCAACUGCUUAUUUUUGGUCCCUAUGGAUUUGCCUAUUUUAGACUUUACAUAUGAAUGGGAUUAUCCAACAUGUGAUCUUUUGCGACUGGAUUCUCUCUCUCAGCGUCUCAGUACUUUAUAAAAAUCAACCUUAUUGGGGUAUCAUUUACAUAAAAGUUACUGUAUCCAUUUAAAUGGACAAUUCAGUGAUGAACGUGAGAGAAUUUUUGCAAGAUUAAUCCAUAUUGUAGCAUAUAUCAGUGCCUCAUUCCUUUUUAUUGCCAAAUAAUAUUUUAUUAUAUGGUUCUAUCACAUUUCAUUUAUCUAUUUUUCAGUUGAUAGACAUUUAGGUUGGCUCACUUUUUGGCCCAUAUGAGUAAUGAUCAGGCAUUUUCAUGUACAGAUUUGUUUGUGGACUUGCUUUCAUUUCCCUUGGGUAUAUACAUAGGAUUGAAAUUGCCAGGUCAAAUGGUAGCUCUUUUUUUAUUUUUUUUAACGUGCUGAGGAAUCACCAAACUAUUUUCCCAAACGACUGUACCAUUUUACAGUCCCAUGAGCAACCUGGGGGGACUCCAACUUCUCUACGUCCUUACUGACACUUACUCUCUGUUUUUGAUGACAGCCAUCCUGUGGGUGUGAAGUGGCACCUCGAGAUUUCAGUUUGUAUUUUUCUGACAACUAACAAUUUUGGACAUCUUUUCCCAUGUUAGCCACUUAUAUACCUUCUUUGGAGAGAGAGAGAGAGGUAUUCAAAUCCUUUCUUUAAAAUUGAUUGAUUUGUCUUUGUUGUAAGACUGCCAUAUAUAUUUUAUAUACAAGUCUCUUAUCAGACGUAUGAUUUGCAGAUGUUUUCCCCUGUUCUGUACAUAGUCUUCUACUUUCUUGAUAGGAUCCUUUACAGCAGAAGAGUUUUUUUUUUUUUAACUUUGAGGUAGUCUGGUUUAUUUUUCUCUUGUUGCCUAUGUUUUUGGUGUUAUACUAAGGCACGGCCACUUAAUUCUUAAUGGUACCUUUUGAUUAAGGAAAAUUUUAGUGGUGAUAAAGUGUAUUUUUUUAAUGACUUGUGCUUUUCAUGUGCUGUUUUAGAAGUCUUCGCCUAUGCAAAUAAUUUUUUCUUCUGGACGUUGGACAUUAUAUAGUUUUAGCUUUUCCUUCCCUCCUUUCCUUUCCUUUCCUUUUCUUUUCUUUCUUUUCUGACAGUGUCUUGCUCUUUCGCCCACGCUGGAGUGCAGUAGCACAAUCUCGGCUCACUGCAACCUCCACCUCGUUGCGGUCGAGUGAUUCUCCUGCCUCAGCUUCCCGAGUACCUAAGGCAGCUGUGAUUACAGGCACGCACCACCAUGCCCAGCCAAUAUUUAGUUUUUUUGUAUUUUUAGUAGAGAUGGGGUUUCACCAUGUUGACCAGGCUGAUCUCAAAUUCAUGACCUCAAGUGAUCCACCCACCUUGGCCUCCCAAAGUGCUGGGAUUACAGGCGAGAGCCACCAUGCCUGCCAACUUUUCUAUCUAGGUAUAUUUCAUGAUCAAUUUUAGAUUAAUUUAUAUAUAUGGUAUAAAGUAAUGACAAUAUUCAUUUUUGUCAUAGGGAUAUCCAAUUUUCAGCAUCAUUUUUUGAAAAUAGAAAAUAAAAGUCUUUCAGAAAAAUGAAAGUCUUAUUAAUUGCCUUAGUAUCUUUGUGAAAAAUCUGUUGACAAUAUAUGGUGGGUUAAUUUCUAGACUGGUUGUUCUGGCCCAUUCCUCGAGAUAUCUGUCCUUUUGUCGGUACACUCUGUCUUGUUUUGUUUUGUUUUCUUGGUGACAGAGUCUCUCUCUGUUACCCAGACUGCAGUGGUGCGAUCUUGGCUCACUGCAACUUCUGUCUCCUCGGUUCAAGUGAUUCUCCUGCCUCAGCCUCCCAAGUAGCUGGGACUACAGGUGUCUGCCCAACACAGCCUGCUAACUUUUUGUAUUUUAGUAGAUACAGGGUUUCACUGUGUUGCCCAGGCUAGUCUCGAACUCCUGAGCUCAGGUGAUCUGCCCACCUCGGCCUCCCAAAGUGCUAGGACUACAGGCAUGAGCCGCCAUACCCGGCACACACCAUCUUCACUGUAGCUUCAUAGUCAGUUCUCGUCAUCAGUGAGUGUAAGUUCUCUAGCUUCAGUUUUUUUUUUUCCCCUUAAAAUUGCUUUGGCUAUUCUAGACUAUUUGUAUUUUCAUGUACGUUUUAGAAUACACUUGCCUCUUUUAAUGCUUGUGGGAAUUCUGUUUGGGCUUAUAUUGAAUCUGUAUAUCAGUUUGAGAACAAUCGACAGCUUAAAACACGUAGACUUUUGAUUAAGAAACAUCAGUCUUUUCAUUUUAUUUGAGUUUUGCUCUCGAUGUUUUAUAGUUUUCAGAAUGUAGGUCUUCAUGUAUUUAUUUUAUUCUGAAAUAUUUUAUUUUUAUUCUAUUGUAAAUAGAUUUUUAUUUCAUUUUUCCAGUUGCUUACUGCUAGCAUAUAAGAAUAUAAUUGGUUUUUGUGCAUUAGCCUUUGACCUUGCUAAAUUCACUUACUAGUUCUAGUGCUGUUUUAUGGAUUUCUUACCGUUUUCUAUCUCAAUAAUCAUGUCAUCUGAAAUUUACAUUAAUUCUGGUUGGUCCCAAAAGGAAUUCCAUUUGGUAAAACUUUGAUGGUUUAAUUCUAAUAUUAAGUGUAUUUUAAUGGCAUAAUAAUAUGUCUUAAAAUAUCUUAUGUCAGAGAUUUUGAAAAUUCAAAUUAGCAUCUCUUAUUCCCUUUUUGCCUCCAUUAGUUAUUUAAAUGACUAGAAAGAGAAAAAAGCAAUGACAGGAACCCUGGACACAUCAGAAUAUAACAGUGUUGGGAAAGUAUUGGAUUGGUUUUUGGGUUUGUAGCCCGUAUUAUUUUUGGUUGCUGUAUUUUUCGUUUUUGUUUGGCAAGGAUCAGUGGUUUAUGUUCUUGAGAAGCCAUCUCUUUUUCUUUUUUGAUGUAAACAUUUUUUUUCAGUAGUUGGGAUCUCACUCUGUCACCCAGGCUGGAAAGCACUGGCCUGAUCAUAUGUCACUGCAGCCCCCAACUCCUGGGCUUAAGCAAUUCUCCCACCUCAGCCUCCUGAGUAGCUGGGGCUGUGGGCAUAUGCAUCCAUGCCUGGCUAAUUAUUUUUACUUUUGUAGAGAUGAGUCUUGCUGUGUUGUCCGGGCUGAUCUCAAACCCCAGACCUCAAGCAAUCCUCCCAGUCUCCCAAAGUGUUGGGAUUACAGGGGUCAGCUACUGCCCCUGGCACCCAUCUUUUCUGUCUGGUUCAGUGAGAAAGCGGAAAGAGUUUUUGCUUUUAUUUUGCUUUUGUUUGACUAAAGAGCUUAGAAAGUCUUUAGUUUCUAAAUAUAUGGGGAGGAUCUAAAACACCACAUUUUAGAGGACAGUAUUUUACAGUGUUUGUGCCUUGGAAAGUUUUAGUUUCCUAGGCAACGGCAUGGGGACACUGAGACACAACAGGGGAUGGUCGGCAUCAUAAUUUUAUUACCUAUCUAAUCGCUCUUUCAAUUCUGAGUAUUGCAGUAGAUUCUACCCCCCACCCCACCAUGCUGCUGCAGCAAAAGAGACUUAAUUGUUUCCAGAAGUCUAUAUUUAAAUUUUAUUUGGGUUUUUGGGAAAACGCUAUUUUUUUUUUUUUUACAGAAUUCUGUGUUUGGAACAUUCUUCUUUAGAUAGUAGGAAGUCAUUAUGACAUUGAGAGAAGUGAUAAAUAGAAAGUCAGUUAGUUUGGAAGUUAUUUUCCGUCUGACUUGUAGGAUACCAGUCCCUAUAUUUGGAGAUGAGAAAGGAUAAACUCAACUCCUCCCUCUUCACAACUCUAACAACUUAGGCAGUAAAAUAAACCUCAGGCUGAUACAGUACAAAGGAUAGAUCAGAAAUAGUUUUUCAAAAGAAAUAGAUUAUAUUGCUGUUGAAUUAUUACACAUUUCCAAUAAGACUUACAUUUCCAUAUGUGGGUAACAUCUCAAUUUCUACCUCCAGCCUGGAGCCCUGGCCAGAACACUAAGCUUGUAUAUUCAUCUGGCUUCUCUGCAGUCGCACUUGGCCAGGUAAUGGGCAUCACUCACGUACCAGAUCCAAAGUAAACUCUUGAAUUUUCCACAAAAUCUGCUUCUCCUGCUGUCUUAUCUCAUCUUAGCAAAUGGUAACUCUGUUCUUCCAGUUGCCCAGGCCGAAAACCUGGAGUCAUCCCUCACCAGGCCGAAAACCUGGAGUCAUCCCUCACUUAUCCUUUUCUCUUACACCCAACAAUCCCAUCCCUGUGGCCACCAGCUUCGGAAUUACAACAGAGGCAACCACUUCUCAUCUCUGUACCUACCACCCUGUUCCAAACCACUGUAUAAAGCUUACCUUUCUUCCCCAGUCCUGCCCCGAUGCACUGUUCUUUUUCAGUGUGUUAGCCAGGUCUCAUUAUGCCUUUGUUGAAAAACUACCAUUGGCUUCUCAUCUUCGAGUCAAAGACAAAGUUCUUAUGGUGGCCUCCAUGGCCCUGUGUGUCCUGGCCCCUGGAAACCUCUCUGACCUUCUGUCCAAUCAGUGAGCAAUCCAGUGUUUAUACCCUUGACCAGCCUAAUACAAUACACUGAUAGCAUUUUCCAGGAAAAAAAGAACCUUGUAGGUACCACUAAUGUGAAUAGGUCAGCUUAUCUGGAAAAUGUUAUUCGUUAUGGUUCAAGACGUGUUUUAAGGCCGAGUGUGGUGGCUCAUGCCUGUAAUUCCAGCAAUUUGGGAGGCUGAGGCAGGUGGAUCAUGAGGUCAGGAGUUCAAGACCAGCCUGGUCAAGAUGGUGAAACCCUGUCUCUACUGAAAAUAUAAAAGUUAGCCAGGCAUGGUGACAGGUGCCUGUGAUCCCUGCUACCCGGGAGGCUGAGGCAGAGAAUUCCUUGAACCUGGGAGGUAGAGGCUGCAGUGAGCUGAGAUCGCACCACUGCACUCCAGCGUGGGCGACAGAGUGAGACUCCGUCUCAAAAAAAGAAAAGUGUUUUAAAAGGAAAGGUAACUAGAAAAUAUCUUACAUUGUGUGGUGGUUUGUGAGGGGCGAAAUGUUUACUCAGCAGUAUCACAGGAAUUCACCACAACAGUCUCACUCCAUUUACAACAAUCAUCAUGUUUAUUUCUUAAAUAAUUUUUUACCAAUGUUGCGAGGUUUUUUCACCAGUGUUAUGAUUUCCUGCUGAGCUUGAAAAACUAAGGAUGAAACACACAUUUUUAAAAGAAUAUUAAUUUGCUUCCUGGUACCCCCAAGGCAUGAAAAUGUAUCAGCUUCCAAGAGAAAAUAUGGUCUCUCUCCUCUUGGCUUGUGCAGGAAGCGGUCUGCACAGGUCCCCGUUUGUGGGGUCACCGCUGAUAGCUGUUGUGUGGAUAUUGUAUUUAUUCAUAACUCAUACCCUGUGUUCCCAGAAACAGUUUUAAUUAGAACACAGAUUAUUACUCCCAGUAGCCUUCCGUAAGUAGCCAAGCAUGAUAAUGAAGAAAAAAAUGUUUCUGAAUAUGACGCCUUAAUAUAUUUACAUAUAAAUUACCAAAAUCUUAUCUUUGUUCACAGCAGAUACUAAUUGAACGUCUAACAGGACUGUGGUUUCUGUUGAGCACUGGUGGGUGGGAAGGGGUUUGAGGGGUUGGGGUACAGGCAAGACGCAGCCGAUGCUCCUCACUAGAGCUGCUUGUAGAGAGUGUAACGCUCCACAGUUGCUUUCCUUGAGGACGGCGCAGGGCACUCUGGGAAGAGACACCUUACAUAGAGGCGGGGUUAAGACUCGGCCAGAUGGAGGUGCUGCCUCCAGUCAUCCAGGGCUGGAGAGAUGGAGAGAGAAAGGAUGGCAUUUUCAAGUGGAAACAAGUCAUGGAAGAUUAAGGACUGGCGAGCACCUAGAGACAGACUCUCACUUUCAGAACAGAUGAGUGGGCAGUGAUGGAGUAAUGGGAAUUUUUGACUCUUCAGGAAAGUGCAGGAGAUGAUGAGGCUUAGGUGGGCCUGCUCUGCCCUUCAGGUACAGAUUACUUUGUUCCAGUGCUACCAGACUACAGCUGCCCCCUCUGCUGUGGCCCAGAGAGCUGAUACAUUCACUGUGUAGAUAAAGACACAGUUUUCUGGAUUAGAAUCACAAUCGCUAGAGUGACAGCCUUGAAAUGUGCAACUACCAGUUGGAACAGCAGGAGUUGCACAGGUUCAGGGAUGUUUCUGAGUCUCUUUGCUGCUCCCUUUAGCCUGUUUGGAAGUUAACAUUGUUACACAUUGACAAUCACAACAUCUAUGCCAGGUACAUGUUUGGGAAUAUGCCCUGAAUAAGGUUACUUUAUACGUGCUGAUAUGGAAUGAUGGCAAAGAUAAGAUGUUAAUGAAUAAGUGCUGUGCAUGGCGUUAGAGUAGUAUAUACUUUUCUUCUUCUUUUCAUUUUUUGAGACAAAGUUUCACUCCUGUUGCCCAGCCUAGAGUGUAAUGUCACGAUCUUGAUCUCCGAUCACUGCAACCUCCCCCUCCCAGGUUCAAGCAACUCUCCUGCCUCAGCCUCCCAAGUAGCUGAGAUUACAGGUGUGCACCGCCACGUCUAGCUAAUUUUUUAUUUAUUUAUUUAUUUUGAGACAGAGUCUCGCUCUUUUGCCAGGCUGGAGUGCAGUGGUGUAAUCUUGGCUCACCACAACCUCCGCCUCCUGGGUUCAAGCAAUUCUCCUGCCUCAGCCUCCCGAGUAGCUGGGACUACAAGCACGUGCCACCAUGUCCAGCUAAUUUUUUUUUUUUUGUAUUUUUAGUAGAGAUGAGGUUUCAUCGUGUUGACCAGUUUGGUCUCGAUUUCUUGACCUCGUGAUCUGCCCGCCUCGGCCUCCCAAAGUGCUGGGAUUACAGGCGUGAGCCACUGUUUCCAGCCUUUUUUUUUUUUUUUUUGUACUUUUAGUAGAGACACGGUUUCACCAUGUUGGUCAGGCUGGUCUCGAACUUCUGACCUCAAAUGACAUACCUGCCUCCGCCUCCUAAAGUGUUGGGAUUACAGGCAUGAGCCACCACGCCCAGCUAUAUAUACUUUUAUUUAUGGUUUAAAACAGUAAUAUAGAAACAGAUCUCCUUAUUUGUACAGGAAGUGUCUGGGGGAAUAUAUAGAAAACUGCUAAGGCCUGAUUCUCAGAGGGAAGAUUGGGUGUUUGGAGUGGGAAGCAAACAUUUUUUACUAUAUACACUUGUACUAUUUGAAUUUUUUACCACAUUAAAAAAUUAAACAGGCUCUAUUUAUACUUCUUUCCAUGACUUUAAGGCUUAAUUGUAAAAAUUGCUUCCCAUAAAAACCUUUUGGUUCAUAAAAAGAUCCAUAAAAACCUUUGGUUUCCUCCAGCAAACUGGAUCUUUUACUACCCACGUCGAAUAGUAAUUAUUUUCCUAGCACCAGUAAUUCUCACAGCAGUGAGAGUCAGUUAUCAAUAUGACAAAAAACUUCAUUUUGCUGGCACAAUCGGAGCCUAAAAUCUUCCUUGGUAGAGAGAUGUGAUUGAGGAGGGAGUUGCAGGGUUGUGUAAUAUCAUACUUGAAAUAGACAGAGACCUGAAGUGGUCCAGUCUCAGAACACAUUCAUUUUUAAUAUAAGCCUAAGUACUAAGCCCUUAAUGACUUAGGUCUUUAAUUAUCUCACUGAACAAUUUAUGUUGAUUCAGGCAGGACCAGCCAUUCUCUUUGAUUUAUUGAUUCUAUGCUCAGAAAAAAAAAUUACACAGUAUGUUUUGACAAAGUGCCUUUUAACAUGAUGCCUCCUGCGUUGCGCCCCGAAACUGUGUGCCAGGAAUUUUUACAUCUGUUCUCUCCCUACUGGGUUUUACAUUUGUAAUAGAUGAAAAGAUGCAGUUUGAUUCCCAUUAUGACUUUAAUAUAUGAUUGUGGAAUCUCUGUGAGUUGAUGAGCUCUUAAUUUUGUUGUAAUGUGAAGUGGCUGAUGGAUGGUCUUGACUGGCGUCUAAAUUCUAACUAAAUUACAUUCUCACGUGAUCAAAUCUUUAAACCAAACGCACAUGAUCAAAUCAUUAAACCAAAGGCAUAUGUACAGCUCAGAAGCAUCCAAGGCAAAGGGUGGAAGGCAUUACACUAGGACAGGAAGCACCAUUUGCCACAGUGCAAACCAGAGAACCACCCGCUGAAAGCAAAGCCACUCUCUCAAUUCCAGAGACAAAUAAAAAAGAGGGGAUGUUGAAGUUCACAGCUGCUACCGGCUGCAGUGUCAGGAAUUCUUCUUCCCAUUGAUGAGCUUUAUGGCUAAAAUAGAUUGUGCUUUCUUGCCAAUAUACCUCCUGUUCUUUACUCCUGAGACGUUCUCAGGGUCUCAGGAACAUGUUGGCUCAUCAGCCCAAGAACAGCAUGUUUUGUUUUGAGUGAUCAAUAGACUUUGAGUAUAACCGUAAAUACAGUUGAUGAAUGACCUAUAUCUGUAGGUCUCUGAUCUGGGUGUUAAACUUAGUUGAAAACAAAUAAUCCCUGCCUGCUGAAAACGGGCGUGACACAACAGCAGGGAAUUCAGGUGAAUGAAAUACCAUUUCAUGCAGGCCCUGCUUACAAAGUAUUUUACAUUCGAAUUUGUUUAGUAAAAGGUAGUGUCGCUGUGACAUGUGUCAUUACAUUUUCUAGUCUACCCUUUGAGGACGUAUUUAGUUCCUUCUUGGCCUAAAGUCUCUCCUGGGUACUGGGUGAAUACGUGGCUUAUGGUUACAUGUAUGUGGAUCAGUUGGCAGAGGUCUGGUUAGUAUGAAUGACCGAAUCUUAGUGUAAUACCACCUGGCAACAUAGUUCGCUUUCAUCCCCAAAAAACUAAAUUAUUUAUUGAAAUACAAAUAAAUACAAAGUAAUCUUAUUACUAACUUCUAUUUAGCCUCUGGGUGGGGGGUGAAGGUACCUACAGAAGAGAAAGAUUUAAAGAAUUACGAACAGCUCCAUACAAUUUGGGGAGUUUUCUCCCCAAUUGACCAGAUUUUUCUUGCCGUGUUUGGGGAGGAAACUCCUUCUGAACCCUAGGAUCCACAAAGGAGGUGGUGAAGUUGUGCAGAUCCUUCAAGGACCUAGCAUUCCUUUCAUUUCUUACUUUACCCUCAGAUGCCUCUGAAAUUUGUUACAUUCUUUCAGAUUUUUUUUUUUUCCUGAGACAGAGUUUCACUCUUGUUGCCCAGGCUGGAGUGCACUGGCACUUCAGCUCACUGCAAUCUCUUUCAGCUUCAAGCAAUUCUCCUACCUCAGUCUCCCGAGUAGCUGGGAUUACAGGUGCCACCAUGUCUGGCUAAUUUUUGUAUUUUAGUAGAGACAGGGUUUCACCGUGUUGGUCAGGCUGGUCUCAAACUCCUGAAUUCAGGUGAUCUGCCUGUCUCAGCCUCCCAAAGUGCUGGGAUUACAGGCAUGAGCCACAACCCCCAGCCCAUUCUUUCAGAUUUUUGAGAAGACGAUUCAGGAUUCUGAGAGAGAAAACAUGAAGUUCCCUUUUUUUCAGUCCGUAGGAUGCUUAGAAGCGGGAAGAUGGCGUUCUAUCCUUUGUGUUCCUGCUUCGUACAACUUGGGCUUAACUGAAAGGAGGGUGAUGAUGCUCAUGCUUUGGGGUGACUAUCUGUGUUCUUAGGAGGUUUCCCUAAGCAACCAGCUUUAGUCAGUUACUCCAUUCUCUCCUCCUGCCCACCCCUGCUCUUUCAAACAGAGCUGAAUCGAUGUUAAUUGGUUAAGUAUACUCAUUAACUAAACAAAGUAUACCCUUUAGUAACCUGUUUCUCUUUUUAGUGUUUGGCCACCUGCUUCAUAAAGAAGUAUUUUUCUCUCUCUCACCCCCAUCCCACAUUUAAAAUGAUUUGAAUGCCAGGUGCGGUGGCUCUCACCUAUAAUCCUGUCACUUUGGGAGAUGGAGGUGGGUGGAUCACGAGGUUCAGGAGUUUGAGACCAACCUGGUCAAUAUAGUGAAACCCCAUCUCUACUAAAAAUACAAAAAAAAUUAGCCGGGCAUGGUGGCACAUGCCUGUAAUCCCAGCUAUUUGGGAGGCUGAGGCAGGAGAAUCGCUUGAACCUGGGAGGUGGAGGUUCUAGUGAGCCAAGGUCGUGCCACUGCACUCCAGCUUUGGCAACAAAGUGAGACUUCAUCUCAAAAAAAAGUGCAUUUGGACAGAAAACUCAGGUAAAAGUACCUAUAAAGCGGUUUGCUCACAAGAGUAGAUAUUAAGAAUUGGCUUGAACUGAGCCUGCUGUUUAUCAUUUUAAAUGUCUUUAUAUUCAGCUUAUUAUUAAGUGGGAAGAAAUGAGGUCUGCGCUGGGUGAGUUCAUUUUCAUGGUUCAUUUUGGUUUGGGCUCAUCCUUUGAUGGAAAGGUUUAUACAGAGUGAACAAGACAUUACCAUACAGAGAGCUGUAACGCACAGAGAUUAUGGGUGCUGGCAAAUAUGCACAUUGUUUUGUGACUUGGUGUUGGCAGUAACACUGUCCUGUACCUGAAUCCUGGCCCCGUGCCCCGUGCAUGGUCGUUUCUCUUCCACCUCCAUGUGGACCUGAUUGCUUCGCUCAGGCUUUGUGCGGAGCACCUGUCUCACAUGACUGCAGAUUUGAUGACCGGAAGAGCUGCCAAAAAUAGAAGGAGCCACAUUUCUGGAGUCCUUCCUGUGCCAGCCAUUGCUACAUGCACUGUGUAUUGAGUCAUUUCAUAUUUCAGUGUCUAUUCUUGAAGUCGUUAAUAAAAGACCAUGAGAUUUGUAGAGGAAAAGAGUUAUUUUCUGUAAGAAACUAUCUAUAGAUUGGAGAGACAGCCUCCAGUGUAAAACAGAAGCACAUCCUUUAGAAGGGAGGGCAAAGCUGGUAUUUGUGCCUUAAGAGACCUGACUUUAGCUGGGCGUGGUGGUGCAUGCCUGUAAUCCCAGCUAUGUGGGAGGCUGAGGCAGGAAAAUUGCUUGAACCCGGGAGGUGGAGGUUGCAUUGAGCCAAGAUCACGCUAUUGCACUCCAGCCUGGGCAACAAGAGCAAAACUCUGUCUCCAAAAAAAAAAGACCUGUCUGACAUACAUAUUUAGUAGAUUUGGGGGAAAUCUAUGAAUAUUUAUGAGGGUGGUCAAGUGCAUGCGUAGUAGAUAAAUGUAUAUAUAACAUGCAUCUCAUGUUCACUCUGAGGAUGGGUCUUAAAGGAGGUAGAAUUUGGCUCUCUAUGUCAGAAGAUGAACUGCAGACACACAGUCUAAGCUGGCUGAAACUGGCCGAAGGUCUGCGACCGUUUAUUAGGAAAGAAUGUCUGUAAAGCUGUGAGGCCAGUCCUCUGUUGAGAGUUGUUGCAGGACUGCAGCUGGAGGGUGUGGGUUGUGGGGAUUUGCGGGGGCUGGUGUCGGGCAAUCUGUCGGGGUCAGUGGGAACUUUUUAACUCUACUUGUUUUCACAGUGAUUUUUAGUAGCUGGUUUCUAUUUAAUUACAGGAAGGAAAACCUGUGGCACUUAGUUAACACAGGGAUACGUGACCAACCCCUCACCCUGUUACUGCCAUUAGGUUUCGUUUUUCACAUGUCUCAUUUUAGCCACAGGGAGUCCUUUUUGUCUGUUGGCUGGGGGCACAGUUGCACAAAGUCAAGUCAGAGAUGACAAGUCAACAGCAUAGUUUCAUAAUGCAAACAGUCACACCUGCGUGGCUAAACCAUGAAUCCCCUGAAACAUCAAAGAGGGUAUCUGGAAACCUGCCCUUUCUUUCUCUCAGAUUAUUGAAGACUAACUGUAAAGGGAUACUUGAAACAGAAGAAGGGCCGGGUAGGCGGGCUUUCUGGAAACUGGACUGCUGCACGCGAUAGUAGGAGAUAGGAAGGCAGCCUCCAUGGAGCUGGCACUUGUUUAUGGAGAGGGAAACUCUGUGGACAAGAGAGGUUGGAUAUCUGCCACGGGGCUGAAGUUUUCUAUAUUUUAAUAUAUAAUAUAUGUGGUGCAUCCCCUCUGUGAAUAAAGUAAAGGGGAGGAGAGGGAGAAAGCCUUGAUAACCAACAUUUACAUGUAAAUUUACGUGUAACUUGCGUUACAUUUAUGUGCAUGUUAUUACACAUAAAUUACACCCCGUGGUAUAAAUGUUGAGGUGGCCAGCAACAAUGAAGGCAGGUGUUACUGAUUCUUCUGCCACUGCGGGACCACCUCUGCCCUUCCUGUCUAGCCUAUGUUGGGUUUUAUGCCUGACAUAGUUAAAGAAAGACUGUGCAGACCUGGCAGCUUCUGUUUUGCUCAUGAUUUUUUGUUCAAGGUAAAAUGAUUUAGGCUAACUUGUUCAAUUGUUUUUCUCUAUCACACAGGGCUCUGUUAAGAGCACCUGUUUGAUUUCACACAGCAGGCGUUGUGUGGCCUCUCCAUCGUUUAUUUCAGCUGCAAAAUUAGGCUAUUGAAUAAUCUGGUAAUAGAAUGUCACCUGCUUCUUCUGGUGUGCUGUUGAUGCAAGACAAAUAAGAAGACAAAGGAAAGAGUUCAGAAAUAGAUGCUCCCCCUCAAUUACGCAAGAAUACACACAUAUACACAAUUUGGUAUCUGUUAAGGAAAAUAUUUCAGGCCAGUAGGAAAGGUAGAUUGUUUAAUAAAUAGUGCAAAUCAUUUUUUUAAAAUUGUAUUUACUUAGAAGCAUUCAGAAUGUCAAAACAGCUGCAACUUUCUUUUUUGGCAAUUACAGUGUGCUAUGCAGUUAACAGAACAACAAUUAUUUCGUAUAAGCUGCAUCAGAGUCAACUGAAGAUGAAAAAACUACCAUCCUCAUAGAUAACUAAUUUGUGCUGUGCACCACCAAGAGCCUGCUUUAAAUUUCCAUGCCAAUUUUCAACCCCCAUACUGUACCAGGCAAGGUUAGUGGCUACUGAGAAUACCACCAGGGCUACCUAAAGGCACAUUCAAUAGUGUGUUAACUGUACAAAAAAAGACACUGUGCAGUUUAAAAUCAAAUCUCACACAGCCUUACAUUUCCAUUUGUUUCUUUAAAAGGAGUGAGUUGUAUCCAGGGGGUUAAAUGCUUUAUAGACAAGAAAAAAACUGCACUAGAACCAACUUAUUCAUCAUCAGCAUCUUCCUCUUCCUCCUCAUCCUCUUCUUUUUCUUGCUUUUUCAGCCUUGACAACUCCCUGCUUUGCUGCAGCAGGCUUUCCUUUAGCCCGAUAUGCAGCACUGUCCUUUUCGUGUUUUUCCUUCAGCUUCGCAGGCCUCUUCAUAAGGCUGCUUGUCACCUGCAGCAGUGUUGCUCCAUGUCGCUCCCAGUUUCUUUGCAGCAUCACCAAUGGACAGGCCAGGGUGUUCUUUGAUUUUUGGGUGCGAUACUCAGAGCAGAACAGGAAACAGGCCGAAGGUGGCCUCUUGGGUGCAUUGGGAUCCUUGAACAACUUUUUUGUCUCCCCUUUAGGAGGAAUAUAGGUUUUCACUUCUCUCACAAUGAUCCUUGUCCGCCUCUGCCAUAUCUUCAAAUUUUCCCUUCUCUUUAGCAGACACGGUCUCCCCCCUCUCUGAGCACUUCUUAGAAAACUCUGAGAAGCUGACUGAAGCAUCUGGGUGCUGCUGCCUAUGCUCCUCCUGACAAGUUUGCACAAAAAAAUGCAUAUGAUGACAUUUUGCCUCUCCACUUCUUAAGAUCUCCUUUGGGCCGGGCGCGGUGGCUCAUGCCUAUAAUCCCAGCACUUUGGGAGGCCGAGGCAGGUGGAUUACGAGGUCAGGAGAUCAAGACCAUCCUGGCCAACAAGGUGAAACCCCGUCUCUACUAAAAAUACAAAAAUGAGCUGGGCAUGGUGGCACGUGCCUGUAGUCCCAGAUACUCAGGAGGCUGAGGCAGGAGAAUUGCCUGAACCCAGGAGGCGGAGGUUGCGGUGAGCCAAGAUCGUGCCAUUGCACUCCAGCCUGGGUAACAAGAGCGAAACUCCGUCUCAAAAAAAAAAAAAAAAAAAAAAAGAUCUCCUUUGCCCAUGUUUAGUUAUUUUCCCUCAGCGAGGCCCACAGUCGCCCAGUGCCCGUCCGGCUCUCACUUGCCCCGGCGCUGUCUCUGUGGAGCUCAGUGUACCGAUCUCACUUGCCCCGGCGCUGUCUCUGUGGAGCUCAGUGUACCGAAGUGGCCCUAGUGCAGGUAAUUGAAGGAAGACAGAUGUUUACCUUGCUUUCUCAUACAAAAUAAAUUCAAGAUGUACCUAAGAUUUAACUAUAAAAUGAUAAAGCAUGAAAUGUCAUAACAUUGUUUAUUAUAUGGAGUUGCAACAAACCUUUCUAAGCAUGACAUAAACUCAGAAGCCAUAAACAAUAAUAUUGAUAACCUUAAUUUCAUAGAAAGAAAAGAAAAAAUUUCUCCGUAGCUAAAAGCAGUUUUAAAAUAAAGGGAAACAAGAAAUACGUUGGAAAAACAUUUAACUGACAAAGUGUUACUUUUUUUUUUUUUUAGAUGGAGUUUCACUCUUGUUACCCAGGCUGGAGUGCAAUGGCGCGAUCUCGGCUCACUGCAACCUCCGCCUCCUGGGUUCAGGCAAUUCUCCUGCCUCAGCCUCUUGAGUAGCUGGGAUUAUAGGCACGUGCCACCGUGCCCAGCUAAUUUUUUGUCUUUUUAGUAGAGACGGGGUUUCAUCAUGUUGACCAGGAUGGUCUCGAUCUCUUGACCUCAUGAUCCACCUGCCUCAGCCUCCCAAAGUGCUGGGAUUACAGGCUUGAGCCACUGCGCCCGGCCCAAAGUGUUACUUUUUAAUUAAAGCGCUCUUUACAAAUCCGGAAGGAAAGUGUAAGCUACUAAGCAGGAGAGUCAAAGGACAUAAGCAAUUCCCAGGGAAGAAAUUCACUCAUCUGUGACCACACAGAGAUUGAGCAUCUUCUACUAUUGUAAAUAAAGGAAUUAGCAGUGAAUACGACAGGCUGAGGUCCUGCUUGAAGGAGCUGUGAUGGCAAUUUUUUUUUUUUUUUUUUUUUGAGACAGUCUCACACUGUUGCCAGGCUGGAGUGCAGUGGCUCGAUCUCAGCUCACUGCAACCUCCACCUCCCAGAUUCAAGCAAUUCUCCUGCCUCAGUCUCCUGAGUGCCACCAUGCCUGGCUAAUUUUUGCAUUUUUAGUAGAGGCGGGGUUUCACCAUAUUGGCCAGUCUGAUCUCGAACUCCUGACCUCGUGAUCCGCCCGCCUUGGCCUCCCAAGGUACUGGGAUUACAGCCAUGAACUACUGUGCCCGGCCUGUGAUGACAAAUUUUAUGUGAAAACAUGGCUGAGGUAUGGUACCCACUUGUUGGGUCAAACACUAGGCUGGAUAUUGCCGGGGUUAACAUUUCAAUCAGUGGACUUCGAGUAAAGCAGAUCACCCUCUAUAAUGUGGGUAGGCCUAAUCCCAUCAGUUGAAGGCCUUAAGAGCAAAGACUGGCCAGGUGUGGUGGCCCACACCUAUAAUCUUAGCACUUUGGGAGGCCGAAGUGGGCAGGUCACUUGAGGUCAGGAGUUCAAGACCAGCCUGGCCAACAUGGAGAAACCCUGUCUCUACUAAAAAUAGAAAAAAUUAGCAGGGCAUGGUGGCAUGCACCUGUAGUCUAAGCUACUUCGGAGGCUGAGGCAAGAGAAUUGCUUGAAUGCAGUAGGCAGAGGUUGCAGUGAGAUGAGAUUGCACCACUGUACUCCAGCCUGGGCAAGAGAGCAAGACUCCAUCUCCAAACAAACAAACAAAGACUGAGGUUUUCCCAAGGAAGAUGGAAUUUGGCCUCCAGCCUGGGCAACAUCGCGAAACCCCAUCUCUACAAAAAAAUACCAGAAAGACCUAGGUGGACCUGGUGAUGCAUACCUCAGGAGGCUGAGGAGGGAGGAUCACCUGAGCACAGGUGUCGAGGCUGCAGUAAACUAUAAUCACACCACUGCACUCCAGGCAGUGACCAGAGGGUGAGACCCUGUCCCCUCUAAAAAAGAAACUGCCUGAGUUUCCAGCCUACCUGGCCUGCUCCGUUGGUUUCAUAUACAAAACUAUGACAUUUCCAGCCUGUUGGCUUAUCCUUAAGUUGUAAGGACUUAACAGCCCUUACAACUGUGUGAGCCAGUUCCUUAAAAGAAAUCUCUCGAUUCAUUGGAUCAGUUCCUUAAAUCUCUCCAUUGAUCCAUCGAUCGAUAGGGGAUAGAUCGAUUCUGUUGGUUCUGUUUUCUGGAGUCCGGAAAACCCUAAUAUAGGAGCUUAUAUUGUAGUACAGAUGAUAAAGCAGGACAUGAUACAUUAACAGGAAAAUAUCACAUUAAAGCACAUGGGAUGGUAGGACAGACGGAGAAUGACUUGGAGUUUCUUGUAGGAUUGUUGAUCAGAAUGAAGGCUUCUCUGAGAGGUGACCUUCACGUAGGGAGGGAACUAAGUCCCCACCCCUCCAAUGUGGGCUUCACACUGUGACUUCCCAAAGAGCCACUGUCUCACCUUUGCAGCCUCUGUCCUCGACGCCUGCCCUUCACAGUCCAGGUCCUUGAGCAUCAGCACUGGCCACCCCCAGCUUGGCUUCCUCCCUUCUCCUCCCUGGCCCUGUGGCCACCCAUUAGAACAAGCGCAUGGUGAUGAAAUAAGGCCUGACAUGGUUACAUAUUUUAAGUAAAAGUUACUAUUUCACAUCAGGGAAAAGGGUGUGGUGCUGUAGUCACCGUGGGAUGCAGUGCCAUGAAAAAGUGCUCACAGACCCCCUGAGGGGUCCUUUGGGCUGUCUCCUUUUUGUUACUAAUGACCAUGUUUUGUUACCCUUGAUUGAGGUGUGGAAGUCCCACCCAGCUUUUAUAUUUAGUGGUUCUAUGAUGCAAUCCAUGCAGAAUGUAAUCAGUUAAAAAAAAAGAAAUAUUGGCUGGGCAUGGUAGCUUACACCUGUAAUCCCAGCACUUUGAGAGGGGCCGAGGCAGGUAGCUCGCAAAGUCAGGAGUUCGAGACCAGCCUGACCAACAUAGUGAAAUCCUGUCUCUACUAAAAAUGUAAAACAUUAGCCUGGCAUCGUGGCGGGUGCCUGCAAUUAAUUCCAGCUACUCGGAAGGCUGAGGCAAGAGAAUCUCUUGAACCUGGGAGGCAGAGGUUGCAGUGAGCUGAGAUCACACCACUGCACUCCAGCUUGGGCAACAAGAGUGAAACUCCAUCUCAAAAAAACAAAAAAGGAAUAUUAUUUUACCUCUUUGGAAAUCUUGCUAGACUUUUGGCUCAUAAGUAGACAUAUGAGCCUGAGCAUUUACCAGAUUUUUCAAUAAUUGUCCUGGGGUGAAAAAAAAACUUAAAAAUCACUAUUUUAAAAUUAUCCCAAUUGGCUGGGCAUGGUGCCUCACGCAUGUAAUCCCAGCACUUUGGGAGGCCAAGGUGGGAGGAUCACUUGAGGUCAGGAGUUUGAGAUUAGCCUGGCCAACAUGGUGAAACCCCGUCUCUACUAAAACUAUAAAAAUUAGCCGGGCAUGGUGGCAGGCACUUGUAAUUCCAGCUACCUGGGAGGCUGAGGCAGGAGAACCGCUUGAACCCGGGAGGUGGAGGUUGCAAUGAGCCGAGAUGGUGCCACUGCACUCCAGCCUGGGUGACAGAACAAAACUGCAUCUCAAAAAACAAAAAAGAAAAAGAAAAUGACCAGGUGCAGUGGCUCCUGCCUGUAAUCCCAGCACUUUGAGAGGCAAGGCGGGUAGAUCACAAGGUCGGAAGUUAGAGACCAGCCUGGCCAACAUGGUGAAACCCCAUCUCUAUUAAAAAUACAGAAAUUAGCCGGGUAUGGUGGUGCAUGCCUGUAGUCCCAGCUACUCAGGAGGCUGAGGCAGAAGAAUCGUUUGAACCCAGGAGGCGGAGGUUGCAGCGAGCUGAGAUCAUGCCACUGCACUCCAGCCUCGGUGACAGAUCGAGACUUCGUCUCAAAACAAAAAAAAUUAUCCCAAGACUCGGAAUGCUUUCACAAAUAGCCAUCUCUGUCAGUUGUAUCUUCGUAUUCAUGUUCAACAGGAAUUGUGUUAAUAGAUGAAAAUAUCAUUCUCUCAUAGCUGCCAUUACUGUCAGAACUCGGCUUGUACUUCUUGAUGUUCUUCUUCAUUGUAUUUGGAAGCCUCAGAAUUUUCUACUCAAUAGAACAAGUAGUUCUAGUAAUAAAUUUCAAAUUCUUGCUUUCAUAGGAAUUUGGGACCUUCGAAGAAAAUAGCUUAUGAAGAUGUGUCAAUUUUCUAUAAAUACACACAGUUCAUGCUUAGAAACUUCUCCGUCUUGGGGCAGUCUUCUUUAAUAUUCUAGGGUGUUUAUCUGCCUGGACCCUUUCUUUUCUUUUUUGAGAUGGAGUUUCACUCUUGUUACCCAGGCUGGAAUGCAAUGGCGCGAUGUCAGCUCACUGCAACCUCCACCUCCUGGGUUCAGGCAAUUCUCCUGCCUCAGCCUCCUGAGUAGCUGGGAUUACAGGCACGCGCCACCAUGCCCAGCUAAUUUUUUGUAUUUUUAGUAGAGACGGGGUUUCACCAUGUUGACCAGGAUGGUCUCGAUCACUUGACCUCGUGAUCCACCCACCUCGGCCUCCCAAAGUGCUGGGAUUACAGGCGUGAGCCACCAUGCCCGGCCCCUGCCUGGACCCUUUCAAAGUGAGUCAGGGAGUUCCCAGCUAAGCAGUGUUUGCUGUCACACUUGUAUGACUUCUCACUGAACUGAGAAGAAAAAAUGACACUAAAUUCAGUAAGAAUUGGAUUUAAAAAAUAGCCCGCCUUCAGGGCAGUCAGUGGAAGGUAUGGGUGAAAGCAGGGCGUAUUUGUAACAAACAGAUUCACCCAGAAUUUAGAGGAAAAUAUGGAGUCAAAUUUGAAUUACAUAGUCCUAAAAUCUCUCACAAUGAUUCAGCCUUUCUUGUGUCCAAGAACCAGAGCUGGAAACAGACUAGAAUUUGUCUCCAGAUUCUCGAGAGACCAGAAAAUGUUUCUCUACUUUUAACUCCUGGCUUGUUACUUAAUUGCUAAAUGUAAAGCAAUGGAGGUUGAGUAUAGGAGACUAGGUUCAACUUCAGCAGCAGCUUUGCUAAGUAUUUUGAGAAUGCAAAUUUUUUUUUCUUUUUUUUGCAAUGGAGUCUCACUUCGUCACCCAGGCUGGAGUGCAGUGGUGCGAUCUUGGCUCACUACAACCUCCGCCUCCCCCUUUCAAACGAUUGUCCUGCCUCAGCAUCUGGAGUAGCUGGGAUUACAGGCACCCACCAUUACUCCUGGCUAAUUUAUGUGUUUUUAGUAGAGACAGGGUUUCACCAUGUUGGCCAGGUUGGUCUUGAACUCCUGACCUCAGGUGAUCUGCCCACCUUGGCCUCCUAAAUUGCUGGGAUUACAGGUAUGAGCCACUGCACCCAGCCAAAUGCAAAGAUGUUUUUUUAAAAUCAAGGACAAGUGGAAGACCCUUGACACAGGCACUCUUCCUGCAUUUCCACCUAGGUUCCCGAACCUCUGCCUCUAGUCUGGAUUUUAGCCAGGCAUUGCUGAGGGUCUGGAGUAGAGGCUGUGUCCAUUUCACAGCCAAGGGGUGCGAAGGGUCAGUAGGCUUUGCGGGCAGUGGAGGGCGGCCUUCCGCAGGAAACAACUCUUGUCGUUUUCAGCAGUUGCCUACGAAAUCCUACAAAGUCCAUUCCGUUGACUUGGCAAGAAUUGCUGGUUUGACAGGAAAGUUGUGUGGCCUUGGAAUGGCUGCCAUUUACUGAAACAGUGAUACUGGUUGGGCCAAGUUUUCUAAAAGUAGUGACCUUAUAAAUACAACUCUGUUGUCAGGCUUAAUACAGUUUUUAAGUGUGUCUAAACUACAGAAACAUAAUACUUGUGCAGGAGUUUAACAUGGUAUUAUUUGAUGCAUAAACUCAUGUUAUUUGAUGCGUAAUAGUUGUUCAUGAAAUUGAAAAAUAGCCUCAUCCUCUGUACCUUUAAGAGAUUGAAAGUUACCACGUAUGCUGGAUAAGUGAAUUGCUUCCAGGGAAAAUACAGGGUUAGGUCCCUUUGAGCCUCUGAUGCCACAUUUUUUAUAACCUUGUUUUAUAUAUGUCAGUACAUAACCUGUUUUAUGUGUGUGUCUGUUUAAAGACACCUCAUUUAGGAUAUGAGAAGAAAGUUCAUGGGAAAAUGGAAUUCAAAGGUAAAAUAUAACUAUAAAUUUUAUUUCUCAACAUCAGUCCCAUCAAGUUCAAGAGACUUGUAGGUGCUGAUAGCAACACUUAGCUGAUCCCUAAAGAACUUAGGGACUGGGAAUGUAACGACAUCAGUGCCGUCUUUCUUCACAUUAGUAGCUGAAGAAAAAUGAUGCCCUUUAAAGCCUUUUUUAAGAUUAGGAAGUAAAAAAAAAAAAAUCAGAAGGAGCCAAAUCAGAGCUGUAAGGUGGAUGCCUAAUGGUUUCCUACUGAAAUUCUCCCCAGGUUGCCCUUGCCCUUGUCUGAAGAGAGGAAUGAGCAUCAGCCUCCUUUUGCUGACGAAGGGUGCUCUGGUGAGGCCGUCUCAGGCAUUUUUCUGCUAAAGCUUUGGUUAACUUUCUCAAAAACACUUUGAUAAUAAGCAGAUGGUAUUGUUUGGCCUUCCAGAAAGUCAGCAAGCAAAAUGCCUUGAGUGUCCCAACACCUUGUGACCAUGACUUUGGCUAUUGACCCGUCUGCUUUUGCUGUGCCUGGACCCCUUCCACCUCUGGGUAGCCGUUGCUCUGACUGUCCUCUUUCUUCAGCAUUGUACUGGGAAAGCCACGUAUUGUUUCCUUUUACAAUUCUUCAAAGAACUGCUUUGGGACCUUCAUCCCACUUGUUGAAAAUUUCCACUGAAAUUUCUACUCUUUUCUGAAGCGGGGCUGAGCUCCGAGGUUUUGGCACCCACCGAGUGGAAAGUUUGUGCGGCUUCAAUUUUUCAGUCGGAACUGUGUAAGCUGAACUGAGACAUCUGUGGUGCUGGUUAUCGUUUCUGCUGUUCAUCGUCAGUCCUCUAGAGUUAGGGCACAAACAAGAUAAUUUUUUUUCCUUGAAAAUGGAGGUGGAUGGUCUGCCGCUGUGGACUUCAUCUUCAGCAUCAUCUCUUUUCUUCUUAAAACAAGUCAUUCAUUUGGAAACUGCUGUUUCUUUGGAGCUUGUCCACAUAAACUUUUCAGAAGGCAUCAGUGAGUUCGCCAUUCUUCCACCCAAGCGUCACCAUAAAUUUGCAGUUUGUUCUUGCUUCAGUUUUUUUUUUUAGACAGAGUCUUGCUCUAUUGCCCAGGCUGGAGUGCAAUGGCAUGAUCUCAGCUCACUGCAGUCUCCGCCCCCUGGGUUCAAGCAAUUCUCCUGCCUCAGCCUCCUAGUAGCUGGGAUUACACACAUGAACUACCAUGCCAAUUUUUGUAUUUUUAGUAGAGAUGGGGUUUCACCAUGUUGGUCAGGCUGAUCUUGAACUCCUGACCUCAUGAUCCACCCGCCUCGGCCUCCCAACCCACCAGCCUCGGCCUCCCAAGCUUCAGUUUUCGCAGAAUUCACAUUGCUCCGAUAGGAGUUCUUCUCAAACUGACGUCUUUUCCGUCUUACUGCCUCAAGCUAGAUCCUGUCUAAACAUGCUGUAACAAGUUAGUCCGCAUUUAUUUUGGUGAAAAAAAAUUGAAAUUCAUGCAUAGUUUUUCCAUAAUACUCACUCUCCACGUACUUUUUGAAGUCCCUUCAUAUGUUUUUGAUUCAUUUAGCAUUGAAUUCACAGCCAGCAGCACUAUGUAAUUCACAUCUGAACAAAGCUUACGUAACGCACACAUUUUCUCCGUAAGGCAGUGUGUAUUAGUCCAUUCUCAUGCUGCUUAUGAAGACCUACCAGAGAUUGGGUGAUUUAUAAAGGAAAGAGGUUUAAUUGACUCCCAAUUCCACAGAGCUGGGGAGGCCUCAGGAAGCUUACAAUCAUGGUGAAGGGGGAAGCAAACAUGUUCUUCUUCACAUGGUAGCAGGAAGGAGAAGUGCUGAGCCAAAGAGGGAGAAGCUCCUUAUAAAAACCAUCAGAUCUUGUGAGAACUCAAUAUCAACAGAACAGCAGCAUGAGGGUGACCACCCUCGUGAUUCAAUUACCUCCCACUGGGUCCCUCCCACGACAUUUAGGAAUUAAAGGGAACUAAAUUCAAGAUGAGAUUUGGGUGGGGACACAACCAACCAUAUCCCACAGCCUUUCUAAGCUUGGGAGCACUGGAUAGCUCUAUAGCAGUGUGCCUGGGCCCUGUUUCAAACACAAUCUCAAACAGAAAGCACACAAAUGUGAAAGGCAUGGUGCUAAAUAGCCCAGAGAACGGACACUUGUUGACAGUAGGAAAGCUGAAGCGGGAAGGCAGGGUGUCAUCUUGUUUGACCUCAUGUUCACUAACUCGAAUCUUCUCCCCUCUGCUCCCAUAUCCAAGAACGACCACAGAAUUGCCGCAAAUAUUGAUUUCUAAGUUUCAAAGAAAUUUCAGCCAGCAAGUAAAUUUGUAAAUAUGGAAUCUGUGAAUAAUGAGGACUGACCGUACUUGCAUUCUCAUUUUCUUUCCUAAAUAUCUUCCUCCACAUAUGAAUAAAGCAUAACAUUUUCUCCUUUCCAGUUUGAAGGUCAGGGUCUAAAGGAGUGAAAUGGUGAGAAGGGGCUGGAUGCACGCUGUUAUUACGUGUGAUUGAAAGUUUACUGUUCUUUAAAGGUGCAUAUUUCCACUUUGAAGUUGCUCAUAGAUUAUUUUGUGUUUUGAGACGGAGUUUCACUCUUGUCACCAAGCUGGAGUGCAAUGGCAUGGUCUCAACUCAACCUCUGCCUCCCAGGUUCAAGCGGUUCUCCUGUCUCAGUCUCCCAAGUAGCUGAGAUCUCAUAGAUUCUUCUUCUUCUUAUUUUUUUUUUUUUUGAGGCGGAGUUUCACUCUUGUUACCCAGGCUGGAGUGCAAUGGCAUGAUCUCGGCUCACUGCAACCUCCGCCUCCUGGGUUCAGGCAAUUCUCCUGCCUCAGCCUCCUGAGUAGCUGGGAUUACAGGCACGUGCCACCGUGCCCAGCUAAUUUUUUGUAUUUUUAGUAGAGACGGGGUUUCACCAUGUUGACCAGGAUGGUCUCGAUCUCUUGACCUCGUGAUCCACCCGCCUCGGCCUCCCAAAGUGCUGGGAUCACAGGCAUGAGCCACCGCGCCCGGCCUGAUUAUUCUUUAGCAUCUAAAGGGUUUUUACUUCCAAUGGCUUUUUUAUGGAAUUUAUAAACUGAAGUGAUUUGCAGAAAACCAACAAAAAGCACACCAAAAUCACCUGCACAGAUUCCAAAGAUUUUAAUAAUUACAGAUGCGUGUCAUCAUUUCCCUGCUUUAAGUACAGCCCUGAACAGGCCUGAUACUUCUUCCAGUCUGGGCUAGGUCUGUCCCAGCCCUCUCUGGCUGAGGCUGCACGGCCUCCUCCCUUUCACUUCAGUUUUGUUGAAGACCGUGUGGCUGCUUCAGUGACAUGUCUGUGAUGAUUACCGGGCUUCCCAUUUCAAAGUGUUUACAUGUCUUCCGAUGGCCUUCACAUCAUUUCCCGGUAUUCUUUUUAGGAGGCGGCCAUGAGUUAAGGCAGUUUGAGCAUUCUCCAGGCUUACUUACUCCUAGAAAGGAAAUCUAUGCUUCUUUCUCUGAGAAUGGAGACAUUCCAGAUAGUAGGAGCUGCAUGCAACAGAAGCGUAUUUCUCAUCCAUGUACUAUUGGAAGCUUGGCUGUUGGCCAAGGGUUCUUCUCCAGCCAUGCAUUCAGAGACCCAGGCGGGCGAGAUCCUGCCAUGUUCUGCACAUAGGUGUAGAUAUCCAGCCAGCAGAAGGGAAAAGGAAAUGAGUGUAUCAGGUGGCGGGGGGAGGUUUAGGGACCCUGGAAGCACUGUAUGUCACUUCUCCCCACAUUCCUUGGCCAGAGCUCAUUUGUGUGGCUCCCCAUUGGACAAACAGGGCAGGGGGUGGGGGUGCUGGAAAUGUAUGCCCAGGCUGGGAACCCACUUUGUGGAAGCAGCAUUCUGUUCCAUGAUAGGGGAGCAGGAAUCGUGCAGGGACAGCUGGUUGUCCCUGGCACACAACAGAAGACAGUGGAGGGCGCUGCUCUUGGUGCCAAGGAAGCGAAAUCUGUCCUAAGCUCUGAGGUCAACAUUGUGGACAUGAGGUUGUUGGAAACACAUCUGUCAAAUCAUUCUCAUAUUCAAGCUAAGCCCCUAUUAAAUAUGCCACACCUCGAAGGCUUAGAAGCCUUUUAAGUUUCAGGCAAAUGCAGUACAGGGCGUGGGAUCUGUUUCUGACACUCAUGGGAGCUACUUGAAGACAGGCUCCAUCUGUGCCUCUUGCAACAAAGACACUCGAUAAAUGCAAGUUGAACAAACAAUGAUGGAGAAAUGCAAGUUCUUGGAAAUAAUAGUGGCUCACUUUUCCCAUGAAGGCAAUGUGGGCCACACCUGCGCCUAGCAUGUUAUGUGUGUAUCUCAUUUCAUCUCUUAAAUCCCCGAUACGAGGUAGGUUCAGUUAUGACGAUCCCAGUUUUGUAAGAGGGAGAACCAUGUGCACAGAGGACAUAAGUUGCUUCCAGCCUCGUGGCCAUGAGCAGCAGAGCUGGUAUUUAAGUCUGGGCCAUCUGUGAGCUGGGGAGAGAGAGGUAAAGAAGAUGCAUGGCACUGGGGAUGAGAGGGGCACGUGGUCCCAUUUCAGCAUUUUGUGAAGAUUCCACAGUGUGCUUCAUAGGGGCUGAAUGUCAUCAGGACUGCUCAUUAUCUGAGAUUCUUGCCAGAGAGCGCUGUUCCUUUCAGAUUGUAAUGCCAGUAACUGGGGCCAGUGGGGAUUUUAUAAUCAUACAAUCCCCAUUACAGAGAAACUGAGGCUUAGUCUGUAAAAGGCAUGCCCAGUGUUACAUUACAGUAGGUCAGAGUUGUUUCCAAAACAGUGUAUCUUAUUUUUCUUUUUUGGUUCCAUCCAAGCAGUAGCUGGUCACUGUUAAGGAGAUAGCUAACUAGUUGUCAAAAUACACCUGAGAUUUUUCUGAAGUUUAACCAUUUUAAAAAUAAAUCUGUCAUUUGUCAAUUAUUUGUAUAAUGAGCAAUUUUAGUCAAUACCCAUAAUCUCAGUCUCUCCAGAAUUUAACACAACGUGGGUGCGAUUCCUAUUGGACCUACACACUCAACCACAGAAUCGAGUCGGGUGAAAGAUUGGUUGACUGGAUUUGCCAUUUCACUGAGUACUGUGAAUGGGUCCAACUUGCAAGGCUCAGAACAGAAGCCACCAGAGCCACAGGGCGUGGAAGUCCAGUCCCACAGCUAUCUUGGCUCCUGGUGAGUUUGGUCAACUGCAAAUAUGUUAGCAAUAGACACUGCCAUUGCACAGGCCUGGAAAUGAGGCAUAGUUAACAGCUCUGUCAGAGAGCAGCAGCACCUUUCGUAUGGCACCCAGAUACUUCUAAAGACAACUUUGAGUGGGCCAGGCAUGGUGGUUCGUGCCUGUAAUCCCAUCACUUUGGGAGGCAGAGGCAUGUGGAUCACCUGAGGUCGGAAGUUCGAGACUAGCCUGACCAAUAUGGUGAAACCCUGCCUCUACUAAAAAUAGAAAAAUUAGCUGGAUGUGGUGGUGUGUGCCUGUAGUCCCAGCUACUCGGGAGCCUGAGACAGGAAAAUCUCUUAAACCUGGGAGGUGGAGGUUGCAGUGAGUUGAGAUUACACCACUGCACUCCAGCCUGGGCAACAGAGCGAGAAUCCAUCUUGGAAAAAAAAAAAAGAGAGAGAAAUUUGAGUUCAAUAAGGGGGAAAUGAAAAGCUGUCACAAAGUAAACUCUCAUAUGUAUUCAAAGGUAUGCAUUCUAUAGAUGAAUCAUUCACAGUUGGAUAAUUGAGUCACUCUUCUUGGUGAGCCAAAAGUCACCCAAAAGUAGGAAUAAUUUCCCAGCUUUUUUGAAAUGUGUGUGUGUGGGGCGUGUAAAUGUGCAAAGGGUAAGUUAUUCAAAAACCCAAUUAGUGGAGUUUAUUAACUCUUACUGCAGGUAUGUCUACCGCUGUGCUAUAUUCAUCCUCUUUUUUCCAGCCUUUUAAGUAUGAUUUUAAGAAGAAGUCUAAUGAGGGCAAGGUUAAAAAGUAGAAUAUUGUUUAUGUAAAACCCCUGGCUAUUACCAGCAUUUCCUAUAAAUGUAGCCAAUUGCAGUCAGCAGGCCGCCGUCAUUGCUGGAAUAGAAAUAUGACUUCAUUGUAAUCAUGAUCAUUAUUAUGUUAGUUUUUGUAGGAGACAUUGAGUGAAAAUGGCCAGGGACCUGUAAACGUGUGGGCAUGUGGAGACCUUUAUUCACUGUAGCAGCCCUCCCAGAAGAUCCCAUUUUCAUGUCUCAUAUUUUCCAUCUCUUAAGGGGAUAAAGUUCAAAAAGAAGAGAUCGUUUGAUGUUAUUGUGUUAUAUUUUUUUAAAAGGGGGAAAAAAGAGAGAUUACCCCAAGAAUGAUUCCUCACAUUCUGAAACUCAAGAGACGUGCAUAUUCUGGAUGAUUGACAGUUUAAUAAAUGACGGCGGGUGCAGUGGCUUAUGCCUGCAAUCCCAGCACUUUGGGAGGCUGAGGUGGGCAGAUCACGAGGUCGGUGGAUAGAUAGACACCAUCCUGGGCAACAUGAUGAAACCCCAUGUCUACUAAAAGUACAGUUAGCAGGGUGUCGUGGUGCACACCUGUAGUCCCAGGUACUUGGGAGACUGAGGCAGGAGUAUCACUUGAACCUGGGAGCUGGAGGUUGCAGUGAGCUGAGAUUGCACCACUGCAUUCCAGCCUGGUGACAGAGCAAGAUUCCAUCUUAAAAAUCAAAAUAAAACAAAAAAGACAGUUUAUAAAAUGACAACUGGGAAUAAAACGGGUUGUGUCAAGCUUUGUGAGUGGGGCCCGGGGUGGUGCAUUGCAAUCAAUGGCAGGCAUUGUGGUUUCUGUCAUUCCUUUAAAUGUUUGAGAAUAAAUAUUGAAUGCAUCUCCCCUGGAAGGUCUAUUUCUUAUUGUAUGAGUAUAACGCAAAUUAAAUAUCAUUUGUUUUUGUUGUAUUAAAGUGUUCCCCUGCUGUGGUGGUAUUGGCAGUAAUAUUGGUUCUAGGAACAUGAAAUAAAACCUGGUAAAUAUCACUGGGCAGAAUGGAAAUAUAGAGGCAGUGACCAAGCUCUCUCUUAUAGUGUAGUAUUCCUUCCCCACAGCGGUCAGGGAUCAGUUACGUUCGUUGACAUACACACUGCUUAUUUAGUAGGUUUUAGACUGUAGGUUUCUUUAUGCGUGAGUCUUGACCUACUGAAAUCAAUUUGCUGAGUUAUGACUGGCUUAAAACAAAAAGAAAAUAGAAUAUAAUAGAAAAUAAUAGGCCAGGCACGGUGGCUCAUGCCUGUAAUCCCAGCAUGUUGGGAGGCUAAGCCGGGCGGAUCACCUGAGGUCAGGAGUUCGAGACCAGCCUGGCCAACAUGGUGAAACCUCAUCUUUACUAAAAAUAUAAGAAUUAGCCAAGUGUGGGUGGCGAGUACCUGUGGUCCCAGCUACUCGGGAGGCUGAGGCAGGAGAAUUGCUUGAAUCUGGGAGGCAGAGAUUGCAAUGAGCCGAGAUUGCACCACUGUACUCUAGCCUGGGCAACAGAGCAAGACUCCAUCAAAAAAGGAAAAGAAUAAUGUACCAUGUAUCAUAACGACAAUAAAGUCUUGUUUUCUGCACCUCUUACUUCACCUCCGUGAACAGGUAUGUUUGUAUAAAAUAUGCUGGUUUAGGGAGACCAACUUGGUCUUCGAUGAUGAGUGUAGCUCCAUGUGGAUGACACUGCUCAGGGUAAAUGCAGACAGGAGCAAAGGACACUGCUCCUGACAAGGGCUUGGGCCAGAGUUGGCUUGUUCGCCUUCUUGCCAAGGGCUUCCACAUGCCCUCUGUCAGGGUCUUCGAAGUAUGAUGGAUGAUGCAUGCUAGUCUAAGAGCAGCAAUAUCUAAAGUGGCUGAGGGUCUAGGGAUAAGAAUGCUUUUAUUAAUCGAACAGCUAUAUUAACUAAAAGUGAUGCUCACUAUUAACCACUGUUUCCUGAUGCCAGGCAGUACGUGAACACCUUUAUGGGAUGUAUUAUAACUUAGCAUCCUUAUUUAGCACUCAGUUCUACUGAAUUGAUAAUUCAUUUAAUCUUUAUCCAUUUAGAUAAUUGCAGUGCACUAGUCCUCCAUUAUCUGAGGGGCAUGUGUUCCAAGACCCCAGUGGAUGUAGAAAUGGCAGGUAGUAGAUACACAUUAAGGAUUUUUUUUUUUUUUUUGAGACCGAGUCUCACUCUGUCGCCCAGGCUGCAGAGCAGUGGCGUCAUCUUGGCUCACUGCAACCUCCACCUCCCGGGUUCAAGCAAUUCUCCUGCCUCAGCCUCCUGAGUAGCUGACACUACAGGCACAUGCCACCACACCCAGCUAAUUUUUUUGUAUUUUUAGUAGAGACGGGGUUUCGCUGUGUUAGCUAGGAUGGUCUUGAUCUCCUAACCUUGUGAUCCACACACCUCAGCUUCCCAUAGUGCUGGGAUUACAGGCAUGAGACACUGUGCCCCUCUGAUGUACACUAGGGUUUUUUAAUCUGAUAACUGAGAUGGCUUCUAAGUGACUAACUGGCAGGUAGUGUAGACAGCAUGUGGAUGGAUGGGCUGGACAAAGGGAUUAUUCAUGUCCUGGGAGAGGUGGAGUGGGAUGCCACAAGGUUUCAUAGUUACUUGGAAUGGCUCACAAUUGAAAACGUAUUGAUUGUUUCUAUGUGGAAUUUUCCAUUUAAUAUUUUCAGACCACACUUGAUGGCAGGUAGCUGAAACUGAGGCUAAGGGGGCUGCUGUAUCAUCCUUCUGAAAUUCAGCACCAAAGCACAGCAGCGUAGAUGGAGACAGAAUAUAGAAAGGGCUGGGUGUGGUGGCUCUCACCUGCAAUCCCAGCACUUUGGGAACCCAAGGCAGGAAGAUCGCUUGCGCUCAAGAGUUCAAGACCAGCUUGGGCAAUAUAGUGAGACCUCGUCUCUACAAAAAAAAAUUUUAAACCCUUAGGUGAGUAUGGUGGUGUGUGCCUGUAGUCCCAGAUACUUGCGUGGCUGAGGUGGGAGGAUAGCUUGAGGCUGGGAGGCAGAGGUUAUAGGAAGCAAAGAUUGUGCCUCUGCACUCCACCCUGGGCGACAGAGCAAGACCCUGUCUCAAAAAAAAAAAGAAUGUAGAAAAGAUCUCUGUUUUCCCUUUAUUACCUCAAUUAUUAUUUGAAACAGGCAAUCUUUAAGCACUGGUUUUGUGCUAUACUCUUGUGACACGCACAAAAAACAGAUAUAUCAGCAUGAUGGCCAUUCAGAGUGGGGCACGCUGGAAUAGAGGGAGAUAAGUAUGAAUGUAUCCGGGAUUUUAAAGGAAGUUGGGACAAACGGUGCGGUUUGGGAAGACAUUUCCCAUCGCAAAGAUAUUUAAAAUAAAACUUAACAAGCACAUAAAAGAGUUUCCCAGCUGGAGAAAGACAAGGUUACAGAAGGGGUGGGCGACAGAGCCCAGCUUCGGGACAUAGCCUGGAAUUUGCUCCGUCCAGUCAGCCGUGGGUGUACUUCAGCUGUCAAUUUCUUCUUUCGCUUAAUAGAAUUCAGAAAAAAGUAAUUCCAGUUAUUCAGAGUACCAAUUAGUGGAGGCCUGGCUAGUUAAGGUUUCACUGUAAGUUUAGCCUAUCAGAAGUGUAAUCAUGCUUUUUUGUUUUAAAUAUGUUAAGUUUUUGUUGUUCUGUUUGUAUCGACUGGGGUAAAAUUUGAUCUGUGUCAUUUUGAUUUUGAGUUCUCACUUACUAAUCCAAGUUGGCAUCCCAUAUCCUCUUCCCAACAAGAAUUUAAAGUGUUUAUUACAAGGGAGAGGAGAGGAGGAGGGUCGAAUAAAACAUCGGCAGCAAGGCAGGUGGCCGGGCCUGUGGAGGAAGGAGAGCGAGUGUCUGCUGGAGCUUGUUACAGGGCAGACGCAGGGCGAGCAGUCAGAAGAUAGAGAUGGGGACGGGAAGCCUUGCCCAGCUCCGGGGAUUCCAGAACAUAGAGGGCAGAGGCCAAUGUAUUCAGCAUGAUAGCUUCUUGUCUCUAAUCUCUCUUGGAUUCUUCCAGUAUGAUAAGGACAAGUACAUGUUUGGUGGAAGCGUGGCAUAGCAAAAACACCAGGGGGCCUUGCGCACCUGCCAUUGCCAUUCAUUACCUCGGGCAAGACCCUCUCAGCGCCUGCAUUCAUAGCUGCAAAAUUAGCCAUACACAUGCUUCCUUCAAGGCCUUCUGCUGGGAGGAUUUCUGAGGAUUUAAAUAUGCUUAGCACAGAGUGCAGGCCAGAGGAGAUACUCCACAAAUGGGUUUUCCUCCCCAUCCCUCUAACCCUAAGUAGAAUCCUGUGCUAAACUUUGACUAAGAAUGACUUUGUGGCUCCGGCCCCCACUGUCUUUUGUUUAACCUCCGCUCUCUAAAGGCCAGAAUAUGUUUCUACAACACAGUGCAUUUUAGUGCUGUACAAACGGUACAGUCAUUUCCAGCCAGGGCCUCCGUGGAUCCCCCAGCCGUUCCACGUAUGUGUCCCUGAGUAGUAUAAUCUCAGCUACUCGGGAGGCUGAAGCAGGAGAAUUGCUUGAACCUGAGCAGUGGAGGUUGCCGUGAGCCAAGAUCUUAUCACUAUACUCCAACCUGGCAACAGAGGGAGACUCCAUCUCAAGAAAGAAAGAAAAUAAUAAGGAACUUUAGGAGUGAAGGAAUCUUUACCUUUUACCAGCUGUGUUCCCUUGAGCCAGUUCUGUAGCUUCUGAGCUGAGGUUUCCACCUCUGGAAGAUAGGUCAGUGCGUGCCUUGCCCUGCUCACAUAUUGUAAGAAUCAGAAGAAACAGUGGAAGUGAACAUGUUUCACAGUGUGGAAUCGAAUAGCUGGGUGUGUCAAGUCAUCUAAUCCUUAUUACUCCUGUGUACGAGGCAUAACUAACAACAGAAUAAGACCCAGUGGGAACGGCAGCUUAGAGGGUGGAAGGGUAAGAGCUUUGAGGACCGAGAUGAAUUGUGUCAUCAGCAGCGCCUAACACAGUGUGUGGUGUGGGAGAGGAUGCCCUGGAGAUUUGAACUGAACCAGGAUUCAAAUCCGGAUCUGGAGGUCUUCGUGUCAUCAAAAGAUCUGAAAGCCAGAAGGCACCUCAGAGGAUUGAAGCUAGGAGGAGGUGAAGGACUGAGGAGAUGGUUGCUGGCAGCUUGCCUCACCUUGGGCUGGAAACUGGGAGCUGGGAGAAGAGGUGGGAGGAGUUGUACCUCUUUUCCUUUUUCUUCUUCUUUUUUUUUUUUUUUUUUUGGAGAUAGAGUCUUGCUCUGUCACCCAGGCUGGAGUACAGUGGUCCGAUCUCAGCACACUACAACCUCUGCCUCCCAGGUUCAAGUGAUUCUCCUGCCUCAGCCUCCCGAGUAGCUGUGGGAUUACAGGUGCACGUCACCAUGUCUGUCUAAUUUUUGCAUUUUUAGUAGAGACAAAGUUUUGCCAUGUUGGCCAAGCCGGUCUCAAACAUCUGACCUCAGAUGAUCUGCCCACUUCAGCCUCCUAAAGUGUUGGGAUUACAGGCAUGAGCCACAGCACCCAGCCCGGAGUUGCAUCUCUUAACAGCAUCCAAGUUAGAGUCUCAGGCAAGGGAGCAGGCGUCCUUGCUCUGGGGCCUGCACUGUGGCAUGAGCGUAGUGGGCACAGAUCUUUUGGCAGAAGGUGGCCGCCCAGGUCCAAGCCUCAGACGUCUUUCUUCCUUGUUAGACCUUCCCCCUGGAUGAGUCACCUGGGUAGGGGGCGGGUGAGAACCUCUUUGUGGAGGUUCUGGGAAAGCCGAUGGAGCUUCCAGCCUCCACAAUUAUGUAAAUGGCAAGUUAGAAAAAAACAAAGGCCUUGUGGGCUUGUAAAGAUGGAAUACACUGUAGCUGAGAAAAUUCUUGGCUGAGAAAAUGUGACGAGUGCUAAGGCAGUGGUUGGAAGAUUUUUUUUUCUUCUUGGUAAAGGGAGACAGUGGCUGCAGAAGGCACCAGCUGUCCCCACCUCUUUGCCAUUGUUGAAACAAACGCGCAAAUGGAAAGGACUUUGCAAUGCGGAGUCUAAGGAGGGAAAAUGAAAAUUUGACAGAUACAAGGAACCAAAUGCAUUCUGAAAUCUUUGGGGAGUAAAAAUAUCUAGUAUUGAGACAGCCCAAACCUAUGAGUCUGUAAACUCAGAAACAGCAAGAAGCUUUUUCACAGGAAAAGGAAACUCAGUGCUCUAGGUACACAGAGGUAGAGAGGAGGGUCUCUGUGUUUUAAUCUGUCACCCGAUGUCUUCCAUAGCUGUGGGACUAUGGAACAAUUCCGUUUCCUCUCUGUAGCAACAUCCAUGAAAGUAUCUGUUUACUUAAUGCCUCAGGAAAUCAUUUAGAUUUAUGAUUUGAUCAGUUUCAAAGUAUUUCUGCCGAGUUUUGUUACUUUGUUUAACUUUUUAAUUUUGUGGUAGCUGGUGGAUUGUAGGCAUGUUUAGCAAUUGGGAAAUGUCUAAGGAGAGACUCUCUUUGAUACAAAGCCAGUAGGAAGGGAAUUGAAGGAGGAGAGUCUAUGCCCCAGUUUUUUGUUUUCAUUUCCCCAGCCCUGGAGUCAGACCGCAUAGGUUUGCAUCCUGACUCUUCAAGUUACUGUGUGACUUUGAGCAAACUUCUUAACUUUUCUGUGCCUCGGUUUCCUCUCUUUAAAAGGUGAUCGUAAUAGUAUUUACCGCACAGAUUGUUAUGAGGAUUAAAUGAGAGACUAUAUAAAUGUUUAAAGCAAUGUAUAAGAUCAUAUUUCAAAAGAAAGUGAACAGUUACCAUUUGCGACUAUCAACUUCGAAGACACUUAAUUUCAUCUUUAGUUUCCACACUUAGAACGCAAAGUGUGUAUCCGGAUCCAGAUGGAAUGACAUUGAUUUACGUUAUAACAGUGCUAUGCUGCAGUCACCAGAAUAUUUCCGGACAAUCUCUUGAUAACUUUCAGUAAUUUGGCUGUGCCCUGUCAUUCAUUCCAUACGUGUUUAUUGAGCAUCUAUUAUAUGCUAGAAACUACAUGACCUAUGGAAAAUAUGAAUAUGAAAAAUAAAGAGUCCACAGAUUAGUGGCAGAGACAGAGAAGCAAACAGAUGCCUUUGAUACAGUAUUUUGUAUGUUAAUGUUGUUAGCCCUCUUGACAGUGACUGGAGAGACCAGGUGGGUGCUCAGACUUCUUUUGGGCUCGGGUUCUGCACUUCGUGGGAUGGGGUCUGGGGUAAUUUGCCACCAGCAAGCCUUGGAUUAAGCCACCUGCUGCUGCCCAGAAUGCGAUCCAGCUUUUCCCAGUGACAAGGCAGCUUUAGGAGUCAGGACCCAGGCAAGCGGGGCGGGUUGUGGGGGGUGUAUGUAAAGAACUACACUGUAUUCCACUAAGAACAAAUAACUACUCACACAGCAAUACCUCUAGUAUAUAAACAGAGGCAUCCGGGCUGAGCACGACUCCAUCAGCGACACGUACCCCUGAGUGUACACCAGGUAUAAAAAGUCAUCCAUAUCUCUGUUGCGUAUGACAUUCGAUCAGUCACUAUUGGAGUGUUCAUCAACUCGUUCAGACUGUAACAUGGAUCUUUGUUGGGUGGAUUAAGCUUUUGAAUAUAUUGCUUGUCUGUUUCAUCCCGCAGUCAAAAUCCAGCCCCCACAUAAGUCUGUUGCUGGAUAGAGCUCCCAGUUAUGGAAGUCUGUCCUCUUUUUCUCCCCUUCUGUUUCUUGGUAUUAAUUUCAGCUUAAUCAAGUCUUCUGGCCCUGUGAUUCCAGGAACAGUUGGUUUCUGGCUAAAAGCAAAACAGAAAACCGACUCUUUUCAUCGCAUAAGGUGAUGUGGCAAGAACUCGUUUCUAAGGAGUACAAGAUCUAGCCUAGCCAUUUUCAGCGGUGGCCAUAGCGGACUGGAACAGGGGCGCCACCUGCAGGCGGAGGGGGAAAACACAGAGCAAGAAACGCAAACCUUGCUUUGCAGGGCCGGCAUUUAAAGGCAAAGGAGAUGCAGUCCCUCUUUACUGAUAGACAGUAAAGAACUCAGCAGGCUUGCUUGUAGAUAAAUAUGCAUGAGAAUGUGACGUUGGAAGAGCUCUCACAUACUCCCUUCAUUGCUGCCUUUUGGAGUUUCAGAAUGUUUGACGUUUUUAUGUUUAUAUUUUUCUUUGUCAGAGUAUGGAGAUGCUAAAACCAUCUUCCAGGGCACUUGGUGCUUCUUGGUACUGCGGGCCAGUCUUUUCAAAGACAGUAGUGCCAGGCAAAGUAUUCUGUACUCUCACAAGAGGAGGCGGAUGCCGUUGCAUUCCCUGUUAUAUGAGGCAGGGAAGGACGCUGUGGCCCUGAGCCAGGGUCUGCACACCACUUUGGUCUCUGUCCUUUCUGGCAGAUCUAAAUAUCAACUCCGUCUACAUGUUUUUACAGAAACAACAGUGCUGGUCUAGAAUGAAGGGAGCAUUACAGCAAUGAUGAUCAGACGUUUGUUUUUCAAUAUGCUGUGAAAAAUAACUUGGUCCAAAAUAAAAUUCUCUCCAUAUAUUUCUAUUUAGAUACUUACCUCCCAUAAAGGCAAAAUGUUUUUCUUGGAUGUGAUUUUAGAUUCUCUCUGUGCCCUACCAGCAGAUCAGGUUUCUUGUAAGUUUUUCAGUGGAAAAUGUGAUCAACAGAUGUAUCACCUCUUCCCCUGUUAGCUUUGUUUAUCAAUGCUUUUGAGGGACGGAGUAGGUUUACCAGCUGAUUCCUGCAUUUUAUCAGGUACAAGGGACACAGCAGAUGUGGAAGAUGCUUUUAAGAACUUCACCAAGAAGCUCAAGGCCCGCCCUAAGGGAAGCUCCACUGUUUUCAGCUGAAGCUCUCCAGGGACAAUAGGAACUGAUGUUUUUGGAAGCCUCACACUGCAGGGGUCAGUGUUGCAGGUUCAGGAAUGUCAGGAUACAUAUCUGUGAGGCGCACACAUAACUGUAGUUCCAAGCCAGCCUGUAGCAGUGCCGUGGAGGGAUGCACAGGGUGAAGAAGGGUGCAGCUGGAGCUGCUGCAGCAGAACGCUGGAGACUGGGCAGCUUCAAUGCAAAUAUGUGUUUCUCACAGUUAUGGAGGCUGGAAGUCCAAGAGCAAGGUGGUGGCAGAUUCAGUUCCUGGUGAGGGCUCUGUGUAUGGUUUGCAGACAGCCUCCUUCUCGCUGUGUCCUCAUGUUGUAGUCAAAAAGAGGGCUCUGGCAUCUCUUCUCAUAGGGACGCUAACCACAUCGUGGGGGCCCCACUCGUUUGACAUCAUCUAACCUGGUCAUCUCCCAAAGGUUUCACCUCCUAAUACCAUCACACUGGGGUUAGGGUUUCAACAUGUGAAUUUGGGGGUACAUAACGGAGGGGAAGUUGCAGCUGUACGAUGAUCAGGCUGAGAGAAUUAGACUCUAUUGUGCCCCCUCACUACACACACACCCCUGUGCUCAUAAGAAAAAUGAAAUAGCGAAGGGGAGGACACUGAGCUUAGCAGCAGCAGGUGCCAUUGUCAGUUCCACACGUGGGAGAGCCUCAGAACCCACCCUCCGUGAAAGGAGGAAGGCAUGAGCAUUUAAAAAAACUACUUCCCCGUGGAAAAGAUGCUUUCGACAUUCCUGGAGACAUAGUACCUAUUUCAGAUCCCCUUAGAGCUUCUGUUAAGUGGAGCCUCUUUUAAGAGUCAGAGGAUAGGCGACGUGUGAUGUGUGGACAGUGCCUUUGGUUUAUCUAAGUCUUGUUUUGGCUUCGGGGUUCCCAUGAAUUGUAUUUUACCCUGAGGUGGGUGAAGUGUGGCAUUAGGUUAACUUUGCUCCCACCAAUUCCAGGGGUGCCUCUUGCUAACUGGCUUCUCCCAGCAAUGACAUUUGAGGCUGGAAUGGUUUCUGUGUUGGCACGGUACCCACUUGUGCACUGGCAGCUUAUUGGUUAAAACAAAAACCUAAAAGAAACGGGAGGGAAUGUAGACUUUGAUCAGUGUUUGUAGAAAUCUGAAAGAAGGGUUGGGGCUCCUCUACGUGUCCUCCCUUCAGUUACAGAUGUUCGUUAGGAUGUGGUCAGACAUGGGGAAGGGCAGGCAGGUGGGCAUGUAAGCAGGGCCCCCGACGAGUGGCAUUUACCCAGAUGGAGGCCCCGCAGCCCAACGUCUAGACCUCAGCUGGUUUGUCAACACACCAAGUGUGGAUCUUUUAGUCGGCACAAAAUCCCUCGGCAGAGACAGAAUGCCAGUAUUAUUCAUUCAUAGUGAAAUGUAUAAUUAUCCAGUGGGCUCAUGUUUGCUAAGUAGCAUCGUCUUUCCCAUUUAGGCAAAAAUACUUAAAAAGGCAAACUACAAUCAGAAGAUCACUUGGCUGGAUGGGAUCAGAGCAGGAGGAGGGAAUGGGGUUAUGUUGAUAGCUGGUGCCAUCAGGCUGUGAUAGAUGGUCAGGAACCCUCAUCUGCACUGUAAGGACGUCCCUGUCACAGACCGUGGUCCUGGUGAGUUGCCAGGACUCUCCUUCCCCAUUGGUCCUCCAGAGGCGCUGCUGACUGGGGAGGCAGUGGGCUUCUCUAAGUCUCUUACCUAUGGUCCCCCUGCUGACCAACCCCGCUGUCAGCCCCCACCGCUGUAGGCAUGUUAUAUGUUAAGAAUAUGAAUCUGGACAACUGCCUACCUUCAUACACAGCAUAGUCCACAAAAUAUGCACUGCUCUGCAAAAUGGAGCAAUACACUUACAUGACCCCAGCCCAGAGAGGUUUAAAAGUAUAUUUAUAUUUUUAUAUAAAUAUACUUUAUAUAAAAGUAUAUUUAUAUUUUUAUAUAAAUAUACUUUAUAUAAAAGUAUAUAAUAUUAAGCUGUUAAAAGGGCUGUAUCAUUUCUUAAAAUCUGCAGAGCCUGGUUCCAAAUCAGUCACUCCCUUCAGAAGCAGACAUGGCAUCUGUUCCUUGUUACCUUUCACUAGAACUGCAUUUUAGAAUUGCCCAGUGCUGCCAGAAUGAGUGAUUGUAAUUCUGCUUUCAGGUAAAGAUGGCCUAUAUUAACACUGCUGAGUGAUUCAUAAACUAUCAACAAAUAGCAUUAACCCAUUUUAUUUCCUAGUCUUAGCAUCUGAAGAUGUUCACCAGUUUUCUGUGUACAGUAAGGCAUCAUGCUAAAAUGCUUUUGUUCAGUUCUGUAUAUUUGAAAAUAGCAGUGUGUUCUCUGAUGGUUACCUGUAAUGGCACCUUGUAUGGAAAAUAAAGACUUAUAGUUAUAAAAAAAAAAAAAAA